GGCUCAAAAUAUGCUGGUUAUGUGAAUACAGUCCAUCUGUGCAGCACGAUGGGUCCAUCAUUCCCGGUCCAUCAUUCCCUGUUACAAUACAGUCGUUAUCGAUUGCAGCGGAUCGCCAUGCAAGGAAAUAUGUUCAAUGAUAGUAUCUCAUUAGAUCCAAAUUUAACUUGAUACUCCCUUAGUAGAUCCAAUUUUAACUUGGUAUUUUGUUGUACUCUUUUGUUUAGAUUUCUUGAUUUUCUCCAUUUUAGAGAGGGAGAUUUUUCCAAGUUAGUUUAUUUCUGCCCUUGACUGUAAUUAUCUUUACCCUCUCUUCUUCAAACCAACUAACUCUAAAACUCAAGUUGUCUCACAUUUUUGUUUUUGUCACAGAAAUAAGCAAGUCUUCUGCUUUAUGUGAUAAUGACUUGGUUUUUCGUGAAUCCUAGUUUUGGUCAUUUUCUACGCCCUCUGUUUAUAUCAAAUCAAUGAAUGCA
Lycium ferocissimum is the source of this 476-nucleotide long non-coding RNA. RefSeq lists it as uncharacterized. Lineage: Eukaryota; Viridiplantae; Streptophyta; Magnoliopsida; Solanales; Solanaceae. The record is from RefSeq and is a predicted model, not a curated record. The transcript has 2 exons.